RNAcentral lists this transfer RNA (58 nucleotides) under Myotis brandtii (Brandt's bat). It matches the Rfam family "tRNA", at positions 8 to 63 of the family's 71-position model. From Rfam's summary of the family: Transfer RNA (tRNA) molecules are approximately 80 nucleotides in length. Their secondary structure includes four short double-helical elements and three loops (D, anti-codon, and T loops). Lineage: Eukaryota; Metazoa; Chordata; Mammalia; Chiroptera; Vespertilionidae. The record is from Rfam by way of RNAcentral.
UAGCUCAGUGGGUUAGAGUGUUGUCCUGAUAUGCCAAGGUUGCAGGUUCAAUACCUGC